CCAACAGUAUUACAAGCAUCCAGUAAACUUCAUGCUGGGUUGCAGAUAACUGGUUAUACCGACCUGGGAUGUUUACAGAACACCGAAAAAAAACAUGAGGUAUUCCAAGUCUUGUAGAAGCUGAGUGGAAUCCUGGAUUAGCUGGUCUUGUACCCCCACCUUCAAAAUGGCAUUGCUGGAGGAGAAUGACUGCUAGGUUGAGAACAUGAAAGUACAAUGCCUGCACAGGGAGAAAAGUGACUGCAGGUAACUACCACAGCUGUUUCGAAUAAUGCUUCUUUCCAUAUGGCAGAUUUGAUUAAUCCAUGCUUCGGGAAUUGACCAGCCAUAACUUAAGUUGGACAUGCCAUUUACUACUUUGCACUGGACGUGUUCUAAGGGUCCAUAGACUUGCAGGGAUGAAGACAUCCAGAAGCUUAAUGAAGAGUGAAGCACGACCGUAGUAUCACCAGGUA
Long non-coding RNA from Protopterus annectens (West African lungfish), 455 nucleotides. RefSeq lists it as uncharacterized. Lineage: Eukaryota; Metazoa; Chordata; Ceratodontiformes; Protopteridae. The transcript has 4 exons. The record is from RefSeq and is a predicted model, not a curated record.